Molecule: ribosomal RNA, 601 nt
Filed under: uncultured marine eukaryote
Lineage: Eukaryota
Description: SSU rRNA
Rfam family: Eukaryotic small subunit ribosomal RNA
Source: RNAcentral
GGUUAAAAAGCUCGUAGUUGGAUCUCAACAGCCCUGGAACGGUUUACUUUGUGUAACACUGUUCUAUGAGUUGUGCUUUUGCCAGAGGUUUAGGGGUGCUCUUAAUCGAGUGUCUCUGGAUGCUGGCAGGUUUACUUUGAAAAAAUUAGAGUGUUCAAAGCAGGCUGUUAUGCCUGAAUAUUCGUGCAUGGAAUAAUAGAAUAGGAUGUCGAUCUUAUUUUGUUGGUUUUCGAGACUCGACAUAAUGAUUAAUAGGGACAGUCGGGGGCAUUUGUAUUCAAACGCUAGAGGUGAAAUUCUUGGACCGUUUGAAGACAAACUACUGCGAAAGCAUUUGCCAAGAAUGUUUUCAUUAAUCAAGAACGAAAGUUAGAGGUUCGAAGGCGAUUAGAUACCGCCCUAGUUCUAACCAUAAACGAUGCCAGCUAGCGAUCUGCCGACGUUUUUACUGUAGACUCGGCAGGAAGCUUCCGGGAAACCAAAGCAUUUGGGUUCCAGGGGAAGUAUGGUUGCAAAGCUGAAACUUAAAGGAAUUGACGGAAGGGCACCACCAGGAGUGGAGCCUGUGGCUUAAUUUGACUCAACACGGGAAAUCUCACCA